Molecule: ribosomal RNA, 1412 nt
Filed under: Leptolyngbya sp. CENA104
Lineage: Bacteria; Bacillati; Cyanobacteriota; Cyanophyceae; Leptolyngbyales; Leptolyngbyaceae
Also listed under: 1 other name
Description: bacterial SSU rRNA
Rfam family: Bacterial small subunit ribosomal RNA
Source: RNAcentral
GAUGAACGCUGGCGGUAUGCUUAACACAUGCAAGUCGAACGGUCUCUUCGGAGAUAGUGGCGGACGGGUGAGUAACGCGUGAGAACAUGCCUUUAGAUUGGGGACAACAGUUGGAAACGACUGCUAAUACCGAAUGUGCCUUAGGGUGAAAGAUUUAUUGUCUAGAGAUUGGCUCGCGUCAGAUUAGCUAGUUGGAGUGGUAACGGCACACCAAGGCGACGAUCUGUACUUGGUCUGAGAGGAUGACCAGGCACACUGGAACUGAGACACGGUCCAGACUCCUACGGGAGGCAGCAGUGGGGAAUUUUCCGCAAUGGGCGAAAGCCUGACGGAGCAAUACCGCGUGAGGGAGGACGGCUUUUGGGUUGUAAACCUCUUUUAUCAGGGAAGAAUCGAUGACGGUACCUGAUGAAUCAGCAUCGGCUAACUCCGUGCCAGCAGCCGCGGUAAUACGGAGGAUGCAAGCGUUAUCCGGAAUUAUUGGGCGUAAAGCGUCCGUAGGUGGUUUAUCAAGUCUGCUGUCAAAGCGUGCGGCUUAACCGCAUAAGGGCAGUGGAAACUGAUGAACUAGAGUGCGAUAGGGGUAACAGGAAUUCCCAGUGUAGCGGUGAAAUGCGUAGAUAUUGGGAAGAACACCAGCGGCGAAAGCGUGUUACUGGGUCUGCACUGACACUGAGGGACGAAAGCUAGGGGAGCGAAAGGGAUUAGAUACCCCUGUAGUCCUAGCCGUAAACGAUGACAACUAGGCGUGGUUCGUAUCGACCCGAGCCGUGCCGUAGCCAACGCGUUAAGUUGUCCGCCUGGGGAGUACGCACGCAAGUGUGAAACUCAAAGGAAUUGACGGGGGCCCGCACAAGCGGUGGAGUAUGUGGUUUAAUUCGAUGCAACGCGAAGAACCUUACCAAGGCUUGACAUCCUCGGAACCCUGAUGAAAGUUAGGGGUGCCUUCGGGAGCCGAGAGACAGGUGGUGCAUGGCUGUCGUCAGCUCGUGUCGUGAGAUGUUGGGUUAAGUCCCGCAACGAGCGCAACCCACGUUUUUAGUUGCCAGCAUUCAGUUGGGCACUCUAGAGAGACUGCCGGUGACAAACCGGAGGAAGGUGUGGAUGACGUCAAGUCAGCAUGCCCCAUACGCCUUGGGCUACACACGUACUACAAUGCGUCGGACAAAGAGCAGCCAGCCAGCGAUGGUGAGCCAAUCUCAUAAACCGACGCUCAGUUCAGAUUGCAGGCUGCAACUCGCCUGCAUGAAGGCGGAAUCGCUAGUAAUCGCAGGUCAGCAUACUGCGGUGAAUACGUUCCCGGGCCUUGUACACACCGCCCGUCACACCAUGGGAGUUGGUCACGCCCGAAGUCGUUACUCUAACUGCUUGCAGAGGAGGACGCCGAAGGUGGGGCUGAUGACUGGGGUGAA